GUGUCAUGGUCAUUGACUGUUCAUAUGAACCCUGCAAUUGCAUUGCAGAUUGUGUGAGGUUCAUAUAACGGUCAACAGAGACCCUUGACAU
MicroRNA precursor from Medicago truncatula (barrel medic), 91 nucleotides. It matches the Rfam family "MIR2587 microRNA precursor family". The record is from Rfam. Lineage: Eukaryota; Viridiplantae; Streptophyta; Magnoliopsida; Fabales; Fabaceae.